RNAcentral lists this ribosomal RNA (492 nucleotides) under uncultured bacterium. RNAcentral describes it as "partial 16S ribosomal RNA". It matches the Rfam family "Bacterial small subunit ribosomal RNA", at positions 29 to 507 of the family's 1533-position model. The record is from RNAcentral.
AUUGAACGCUGGCGGCAUGCUUUACACGUGCAAGUCGAACGGUAACAGGCCUUCGGGUGCUGCCGAGUGGCGAACGGGUGAGUAAUGCAUCGGAACGUACCCAGAGGUGGGGGUUAACGCAGCGAAAGCUGUGCUAAUACCGCAUGUGAUCUGAGGAUGAAAGCGGGGGACCGCGCAGCAAUGUUUGGCCUCGCGCCUUUGGAGCGGCCGAUGUCGGAUUAGCUAGUUGGUGGGGUAAAGGCCUACCAAGGCGACGAUCCGUAGCUGGUCUGAGAGGACGACCAGCCACACUGGGACUGAGACACGGCCCAGACUCCUACGGGAGGCAGCAGUGGGGAAUAUUGGACAAUGGGCGCAAGCCUGAUCCAGCAAUGCCGCGUGCGGGAAGAAGGCCUUCGGGUUGUAAACCGCUUUUGGCAGGAACGAAACGGUGUCCGCUAAUACCGGGCGCUAAUGACGGUACCUGCAGAAUAAGCACCGGCUAACUACGUG